CGAAUGGGCGAAAGCCUGAUCCAGCAACGCCGCGUGAGGGAUGACGGCCUUCGGGUUGUAAACCUCUUUCAGUAGGGACGAAGCUAACGUGACGGUACCUACAGAAGAAGCGCCGGCUAACUACGUGCCAGCAGCCGCGGUAAUACGUAGGGCGCAAGCGUUGUCCGGAAUUAUUGGGCGUAAAGAGCUCGUAGGCGGUCUGUCGCGUCGGAUGUGAAAGCCCGGGGCUUAACCCCGGGUCUGCAUUCGAUACGGGCAGACUAGAGUGUGGUAGGGGAGAUCGGAAUUCCUGGUGUAGCGGUGAAAUGCGCAGAUAUCAGGAGGAACACCGGUGGCGAAGGCGGAUCUCUGGGCCAUUACUGACGCUGAGGAGCGAAAGCGUGGGGAGCGAACAGGAUUAGAUACCCUGGUAGUCCACGCCGUAAACGGUGGGAACUAGGUGUUGGCGACAUUCCACGUCGUCGGUGCCGCAGCUAACGCAUUAAGUUCCCCGCCUGGGGAGUACGGCCGCAAGGCUA
RNAcentral lists this ribosomal RNA (518 nucleotides) under uncultured Actinomycetes bacterium. RNAcentral describes it as "bacterial SSU rRNA". It matches the Rfam family "Bacterial small subunit ribosomal RNA", at positions 368 to 896 of the family's 1533-position model. Lineage: Bacteria; Bacillati; Actinomycetota; Actinomycetes. The record is from RNAcentral.